Periconia digitata is the source of this 101-nucleotide non-coding RNA. NCBI's taxonomy places the organism in Eukaryota, Fungi, Ascomycota, Dothideomycetes, Pleosporales, Periconiaceae. The record is from the annotation of a GenBank genome assembly.
CGCUGGGUUGGUCUAGUGGUAUGACGUCCGCCUCACAUCGAUAGCUCGCUAUUGAUGCUUAGAUCGCGGCAGGUCGCGAGUUCGAUCCUCGCACUCAGUAU